Molecule: unclassified non-coding RNA, 253 nt
Filed under: uncultured Gammaproteobacteria bacterium
Lineage: Bacteria; Pseudomonadati; Pseudomonadota; Gammaproteobacteria
Description: contains 16S-23S intergenic spacer region
Rfam family: Bacterial small subunit ribosomal RNA
Source: RNAcentral
UACAGAGGGUGCGAGCGUUAAUCGGAAUUACUGGGCGUAAAGCGUGCGUAGACGGUUUCGUAAGUCGGGUGUGAAAGCCCCGGGCUCAACCUGGGAAUUGCAUUCGAGACUGCGGAGCUAGGGUGCGGAAGAGGGAGGCGGAAUUUCCGGUGUAGCGGUGAAAUGCGUAGAUAUCGGAAGGAACAUCAGUGGCGAAAGCGGCUUCCUGGUCCAGCACCGACGUUCAGGCACGAAAGCGUGGGGAGCAAACAGG